Molecule: ribosomal RNA, 443 nt
Filed under: uncultured soil bacterium
Lineage: Bacteria
Description: bacterial SSU rRNA
Rfam family: Bacterial small subunit ribosomal RNA
Source: RNAcentral
AGAACGAACGCUGGCGGCAGGCCUAACACAUGCAAGUCGAACGCUCGUAGCGAUACGAGAGUGGCAGACGGGUGAGUAACACGUGGGAACCUUCCCUAUGGUUCGGAAUAGCUCAGGGAAACUUGGGGUAAUACCGGAUAAGCCCUUCGGGGGAAAGAUUUAUCGCCAUUGGAUGGGCCCGCGUCGGAUUAGCUAGUUGGUGAGGUAACGGCUCACCAAGGCAACGAUCCGUAGCUGGUCUGAGAGGAUGAUCAGCCACACUGGGACUGAGACACGGCCCAGACUCCUACGGGAGCAGCAGUGGGGAAUAUGGACAAUGGCGCAAGCCUGAUCCAGCCAUGCCGCGUGAGUGACGAAGGUCUUCGGAUUAGUAAACUCUUUAGGCGGGGACGAUAAUGACGGUACCGCAGAAUAAGCCCGCUAACUUCGCGCCAGCACGCCGC